RNAcentral lists this transfer RNA (118 nucleotides) under Candidatus Heimdallarchaeota archaeon LC_2. RNAcentral's name for it is "tRNA-Tyr". It matches the Rfam family "tRNA". From Rfam's summary of the family: Transfer RNA (tRNA) molecules are approximately 80 nucleotides in length. Lineage: Archaea; Promethearchaeati; Candidatus Heimdallarchaeota. The record is from RNAcentral.
CGGGUUUUAGCUCAGAUCGGUAGAGCACUCGGCUGUAGAUAAAUUCACGGACUGAGGAAACUAUGAUGUUCCGUUAGCAUAAACCGAGAUGUCCGGGGUUCAAAUCCCCGAAACCCGA